RNAcentral lists this long non-coding RNA (2909 nucleotides) under Sus scrofa (pig). Its description in RNAcentral is "lncRNA (ENSSSCG00040045852.1)". The record is from RNAcentral. Lineage: Eukaryota; Metazoa; Chordata; Mammalia; Artiodactyla; Suidae.
GUCCACCAACAGCUAACAGGAGGUAAUCCCAAAAUAUACACAGAAAGUAAAAAGUGUUUGCUAAGCACAGGUGUUCAACAAGUGCGUAAGUGUUUAUGUGUGAGGAUGAAUGAAUCACUGACCUGCUUCUAAUGGUGUGGCUGGAAAGGCAUGGAUAACACUAGGAGACAGUGGGUAUACCCCUGACCCUUGGUAACUCUACCUCUUCUGGGUAAAAUUAGGAAGUGAUGGGUUAUCUCACCUGCCUGCACCACAGCCUAAUGAAGUACAUAUCCAAAUGUAUCUUUUCUGGAAGUUACAGUAAGAUCAUUAUGAAGCAGGUCAGUAUAUUUGAAAAUAAUUUUCAUAGAGGAAGGAUUGGAAAAUAAGUGGAAAGGGAUAAACUUGUUGGUUGUAUUAUAAGGACUCUUAUUCCAAAAGUGUCUCUGUCACAAUAUCUAUGAAAAGGAUCUGGAACAAAAAUACCACCCACUUGGUGUAUAGUAAUUUGAAACAUAACUCUGAAGUUAUUCUGAGGUACACUUUUAAAAGAGAAAAAGUAUUGUUUUGUCUUUUAAAAAAAUAAAUCACCUUAAAUGUUUGGCUCACCCCACCACAGAAAGUAGUCACUGGAAAUGCAUAAGCUACUAUUUAAUAGGUACAUAAUUUUACAAUAAGUCCUAGCCAUCUGCUCCCUCCUCUAAUUAUGAACUCAGGAAAGACAUAAUUCACUACAUAUGGUACAAAGGCUGGUAGAGAGAAUUUAAGUAUCAUGUAUAACUUCUUUCUAAAAUGUUUCUUUUCAUUUCAAGAUAGCAGUUUUCAGUCUUGAAACACAAAUCGGGGGAAUUACUAACUCAUUUUGAAAAACACAAAUGCUCCUGAAGGAAAAUGGAAAUUGAUAAGAAAAGAAGCUUUUGAUUAAAUCUCUGUUUUCAGUCUCCAACUCAGAAAGUAUUUUUAACAUCAAAAGGUGCCACCAUAAGCUUGAUUUAAAUGUUGCUUUCAGUUGGUGUUCCUGUUUUCUCUUUUUUUUUUUUUUUUUUUUUUUUUUAAGGGACAGGGGACCUCAGAAACUCCUCUCCAUUGGUUUCGCACUGUUUCCCACUGUAAAACUGACAAGAGGUAGUACAAGGCUAAUGACAGGGAAAGGUAGAAAUUAACAACACAAGCUUAUUUUUUGCGCUUUUAUUUUGACUAAGAUAAAUAUUUAUUGCUAUUGUCUUACCUUUCAUUUGUCAUAGAGAUGACACAGCUCUUACUAUAAACUCUCACAUGAAGGAUUCAUUGUCUUCAACAAAGUGAGAUAGCAAUGCACACACAUAUAUAUAUAUCUUCAAGAUCCUCUCCUCUUAUAGAGGGAAUGGCUGAUAAAUGGAAGCAAAGCUCCAUGGAACAAACUGAGAGAAUGGUUUUGCUAUUUUAUGGGCAACAUUAGAAAUAGGUUUACUCAGCUAAUUUCCAAAACAGAACAGCAUUAUAUGCCUUUACUGCCACACUCUGAAGAAUUUCACACUUCAAUUCUCUAAAUUAAGACACGUACCAUAGAACUUUUUAGGGCAGCAUUUUCUUUACAUUUCAAAACACCAGGAUCACAUUUAUCAAAUGGGAGUAUGGGUGGGGAGGUAGGAUCAGCAUAGUUUUUAAAAGGCUAGUAAAGAAAAUUAAAACUUUUCUGUUCUUCUCCAUGUUUCAUCUCAGAACAAAAGAAGGUUAGUGGGUUUUCUGCUAGUAGUCACACUGUGAGUCAAAUACUUUUUGUCAAUAUGGCCUCCAUGUGAGACCUCUGACUGUGGAACAUCCUGUGAACUCCCUGAGUGCAGGUGUACAUGAAGAUACCUGGGUAGUUUUUACAGCGACGAUAUUGGCUCUUAAGCAGCUCACUCUCAUCAUUUUCUAUCUACCUCACAGGUAAGUACAAAUCUUCCAAGGAUUCUUGUUAGUGAAUUAAACUGACAAAACACAUCCAUGGAAAAUAAGUUGGAGAGGUGACAUGGAAAAUGCAAGGUGUCCUCCAUUUUAUUCUGAUUGCGAGAAAGAAUAAGGAGUGUAGUUUCUUCAAAUUCUUUUCUGUUCAUCAUCAUGAAACAAAAAGAGACAUCAUUUAAACAAUAAGGUUAAACAAUAAGGAAAUUCUGGCCACUGAAAUUGAAGACUUUUUAAAAGAAUUUUUAUUUUAUUUUAUUUUAUUUUAUUUUUUUGCUUCUUAUGGCCAUACCUGAGACCUCCUGGGAACUUCCAUAUGCUUCAGGUAUGGUCCUAAAAAGAUUAAAAAAAAAAAAAAGAGGGACCAUCUUCAAAUAUUCCUGAAAAAGAUUUAAAUCUUGUACUGACCUAAAAAGGACUGUUUAAGAGGAUAGAGACUAAUUUGAAUAAGCAGGUUUAAGUUCUUUUUCUAUUCUUGGCAGAGGUAGAGCUUGAAAGAAGUAAGAAAUUAGUUAAAAAAAAAAAAGUAAAGCUACAUUUCAGGACCCAUACAAUUUUUGACUGGUAAAUCAUGCACACCAUAGUCUGCUCUUUAUUUUUUCCCAUCUUUUUAAAUUGACAAAUAAAAACUGCAUGCAAUUGUAUGAUUUGAUGUUUUGAUAUAUGUAUACACCAUGAAAUAAUCAUCUGCAGUUAACUUUUUAAACCCUUCAAGAUAUAUGUUUAUUGUAGUUCCUGUUGUGGCUCAGUGGUAACAAACCUGACUAGCAUCCAUGAGAACAUGGGUUUGAUCCCUGGCCCUGCUCAGUGGGUUAAGGCUCUGGUGUUGCUGUGAGCUAUGGCGUAGGUCGCAGUAGCAGCUUGGAUCCCAUGUGGUUGGCGCUGUGGUGUACACCAGCAGCUACAGCUUGAUUUGACCCCUAGCCUGGGAACUUCCCUAUGCCGCAGGUGCAGCCCUAAAAAUAAAAUAAAAAAUUAAAAAAAUAUAUAUGUUUAUCUAUACU